UUUAGGCAGAGGCCUGUUGGUUUGGGCACCUAGCUGUUAACUAGGGUUAUUGUGGGAUCGAAGCUCACCUGUCUAG
RNAcentral lists this transfer RNA (76 nucleotides) under Aratinga solstitialis (sun parakeet). Its description in RNAcentral is "tRNA-Asn". Lineage: Eukaryota; Metazoa; Chordata; Aves; Psittaciformes; Psittacidae. The record is from RNAcentral.